UACGGGAGGCAGCAGUGGGGAAUAUUGCACAAUGGGCGCAAGCCUGAUGCAGCCAUGCCGCGUGUGUGAAGAAGGCCUUCGGGUUGUAAAGCACUUUCAGUCGUGAGGAAGGUGGUGUAGUUAAUAGCUGCAUUAUUUGACGUUAGCGACAGAAGAAGCACCGGCUAACUCCGUGCCAGCAGCCGCGGUAAUACGGAGGGUGCGAGCGUUAAUCGGAAUUACUGGGCGUAAAGCGCAUGCAGGUGGUUUGUUAAGUCAGAUGUGAAAGCCCGGGGCUCAACCUCGGAAUAGCAUUUGAAACUGGCAGACUAGAGUACUGUAGAGGGGGGUAGAAUUUCAGGUGUAGCGGUGAAAUGCGUAGAGAUCUGAAGGAAUACCGGUGGCGAAGGCGGCCCCCUGGACAGAUACUGACACUCAGAUGCGAAAGCGUGGGGAGCAAACAGGAUUAGAUACCCUGGUAGUCCACGCCGUAAACGAUGUCUACUUGGAGGUUGUGGCCUUGAGCCGUGGCUUUCGGAGCUAACGCGUUAAGUAGACCGCCUGGGGAGUACGGUCGCAAGAUUAAAACUCAAAUGAAUUGACGGGGGCCCGCACAAGCGGUGGAGCAUGUGGUUUAAUUCGAUGCAACGCGAAGAACCUUACCUACUCUUGACAUCCAGAGAACUUUCCAGAGAUGGAUUGGUGCCUUCGGGAA
Molecule: ribosomal RNA, 694 nt
Filed under: Vibrio sp.
Lineage: Bacteria; Pseudomonadati; Pseudomonadota; Gammaproteobacteria; Vibrionales; Vibrionaceae
Description: bacterial SSU rRNA
Rfam family: Bacterial small subunit ribosomal RNA
Source: RNAcentral